GAUGAAGAACGUAGUGAAAUGCGAUACGUAAUGUGAAUUGCAGAAUUCAGUGAAUCAUCGAGUCUUUGAACGCACAUUGCGCCCCCUGGUAUUCCGGGGGGCAUGCCUGUCCGAGCGUCAUUGCUGCCCUCAAGCACGGCUUGUGGGUUGGGCCUCCGUCCUCCUCCCGGGGGACGGGCCCGAAAGGCAGCGGCGGCACCGCGUCCGGUCCUCGAGCGUAUGGGGCUUCGUCACCCGCUCUUGUAGGCCCGGCCGGCGCUUGCCGACACAUCAAUCUUUUUUCCAGGUUGACCUCGGAUCAGGUAGGGAUACCCGCUGAACUUAAGCAUAUCAAUAAGCGGAGGA
RNAcentral lists this unclassified non-coding RNA (345 nucleotides) under soil metagenome. RNAcentral's name for it is "partial contains 5.8S ribosomal RNA, internal transcribed spacer 2, and large subunit ribosomal RNA". The stretch from base 1 to 120 matches the Rfam family "5.8S ribosomal RNA", at positions 35 to 154 of the family's 154-position model. The record is from RNAcentral.